RNAcentral lists this ribosomal RNA (778 nucleotides) under uncultured bacterium. Its description in RNAcentral is "bacterial SSU rRNA". It matches the Rfam family "Bacterial small subunit ribosomal RNA", at positions 61 to 850 of the family's 1533-position model. The record is from RNAcentral.
GUCGAACGGUGAAGCAGAGCUUGCUCUGUGGAUCAGUGGCGAACGGGUGAGUAACACGUGAGCAAUCUGCCCCUGACUCUGGGAUAAGCGCUGGAAACGGCGUCUAAUACCGGAUACGAGCUGCGAAGGCAUCUUCAGCAGCUGGAAAGAAUUUCGGUCAGGGAUGAGCUCGCGGCCUAUCAGCUUGUUGGUGAGGUAACGGCUCACCAAGGCGUCGACGGGUAGCCGGCCUGAGAGGGUGACCGGCCACACUGGGACUGAGACACGGCCCAGACUCCUACGGGAGGCAGCAGUGGGGAAUAUUGCACAAUGGGCGAAAGCCUGAUGCAGCAACGCCGCGUGAGGGACGACGGCCUUCGGGUUGUAAACCUCUUUUAGCAGGAAAGAAGCGAAAGUGACGGUACCUGCAGAAAAAGCGCCGGCUAACUACGUGCCAGCAGCCGCGGUAAUACGUAGGGCGCAAGCGUUAUCCGGAAUUAUUGGGCGUAAAGAGCUCGUAGGCGGUCUGUCGCGUCUGCUGUGAAAACCCGAGGCUCAACCUCGGGCCUGCAGUGGGUACGGGCAGACUAGAGUGCGGUAGGGGAGAUUGGAAUUCCUGGUGUAGCGGUGGAAUGCGCAGAUAUCAGGAGGAACACCGAUGGCGAAGGCAGAUCUCUGGGCCGUAACUGACGCUGAGGAGCGAAAGGGUGGGGAGCAAACAGGCUUAGAUACCCUGGUAGUCCACCCCGUAAACGUUGGGAACUAGUUGUGGGGUCCAUUCCACGGAUUCCGUGACGCA